Molecule: ribosomal RNA, 301 nt
Filed under: uncultured bacterium
Lineage: Bacteria
Description: partial 16S ribosomal RNA
Rfam family: Bacterial small subunit ribosomal RNA
Source: RNAcentral
CAGCAGCCGCGGGAAUACAGAGGAUGCAAGCGUUAUCCGGAAUGAUUGGGCGUAAAGCGUCUGUAGGUGGCUUUUCAAGUCCGCCGUCAAAUCCCAGGGCUCAACCCUGGACAGGCGGUGGAAACUACCAAGCUGGAGUACGAUAGGGGCAGAGGGAAUUUCCGGUGGAGCGGUGAAAUGCAUUGAGAUCGGAAAGAACACCAACGGCGAAAGCACUCUGCUGGGCCGACACUGACACUGAGAGACGAAAGCUAUGGGAGCAAAUGGGAUUAGAUACCCCAGUAGUCCCUGUCUCUUAUAC